This 565-nucleotide long non-coding RNA is filed under the name Aquilegia coerulea. Its description in RNAcentral is "long non-coding RNA (ACOE_LNC001567)". The record is from RNAcentral. Lineage: Eukaryota; Viridiplantae; Streptophyta; Magnoliopsida; Ranunculales; Ranunculaceae.
GAUGGCAAUAUUUGUUGAAACUUCCGUACUGAGUCAAUGUUCCUACAAAAGCCUUUUUUGUUGUCUUAGGACUGCUACCACCUCAAGGUGCUUUAUGGUCACACAGUACACUAGAAUUUGUUAGAUAAUGGGGAUUAAGAAAUUUCAAAUUGGAAAAAAUUGCAAAAGAGAACAAAGAAGUUGAAGUUAUAGAAGAAGGUAUUUUUAUAUUAUUUAUGGAAUGUAUUUUUAUAUGUUAAGGCUCCAAAUCUGAUUUUCUUAUGGAGUCUCAUUCCGUUUGCGAUAUUGGGGUAUUUGGCUGGAACAAAAUUGUCGACAUUUUCAGGGUAUAGUUUGGGAUGUGGAUCAUACUUCAUAGUACUCUGGACAUCAAGGGGCUACUUUCCCUUUGGUGUCAGAGAUCGUGUUCUCUUGGGAGUCAGCUAUGUUGGAGACGACGAUUGUAUAGUUUCCCGUGGUUAUCCUAAGCGUUGUGUAAUUUUUUCAUAGUUUGUUUUGCUUUGACCAGGGAUUGUUGAUCGCUAGGCCCUAUUGUACUUUGUAUUUGUAUAAUUGUAUGUUUAUC